Molecule: long non-coding RNA, 869 nt
Organism: Engraulis encrasicolus (European anchovy)
Lineage: Eukaryota; Metazoa; Chordata; Actinopteri; Clupeiformes; Engraulidae
Exons: 4
Source: RefSeq, a predicted model, not a curated record
CCGUUGAUGGGGAUGGCUCUGUGUUUCUCUGUCCUAGCCCUGCUGAUUGCCGUCAGCGCAUCUAAUUGCGGUGCUGUCCAGGACAUUGCUGGAGAUAAUGCAAACCCGGACUGGCAGCACCCUUUUGGGACUAGGUGGGAUUCCCAUACUACAAAUGCCACAGAUGUAACCUACGACCUCCUCUAUGGUGCUGUGACCGUAAUCUUCUAUGGAAGCAACUUUGUUCCGGUGAAGAGAAUUGGCAGUGGAGAUGUCAAUGCCACUGGCAUGCCCAUUGUGACUACAAGCAGUGUAAGCCUUGGGCUUCUUGUAUGGGCCUCUUUCAACCUGCUAAUGGGCUGGGCGAGCACCCGGUGUGUCUGUAUAUACCAGCCUGUGUGCCCCCUCAGAUACUGCCUUGCCAAUUGCUUGGCCGUCCGUCUGUAAAGAUGCAUGUGGCAAAGACGAACAAAGACACCUUCGUGAUGUCAGAGCAACACAGUAAGGUCACGUUAUGUAUGGAAUUAGCUGUAGCUGGUAGACCUGUUCUGUCAGAUUAUGUUAUAUCCUUAUUUCCCCUUUUUGUGACUUCAAACUUGAAUAAUUUUUACAGACAAAAUAUCGUUCAGUUUCCAUCUACCUGGCUAUUCUCUUCCCCAACAUGUUAUCCAUAAAAUUGGUUGGGGUAUAAAUGAAAUAACAUUUUUUUCAUAUAGGCCUAAUUAUUCACCAGUUUUAGUAAAAACCACCCUGUUAAAGUUGUUGGAUGAAAGGGUAUUAAAAAUAGAAAGUAAAACGUUUGGAAAGUAAUUCUGGUUUGUUUUAGAAAACAAUGUAUGUAGAAGUAAGUUGUGUAUUUUAGGCCUGCUAGUUUGAUUACAGUUGUUUGU